AAUUUCCAGUGUCUCAAUAAUCAAACACGCAUGCUACCUUCAUCUCUUCUUGGUUGUAGGAAGGUUGUGCUUGGAGAAAACCAGAUGUUGUUGAGAAGAUUCCUUUGGAGCAAGAGCUGGAGGUUACUGAUGUUGUGGAGUAGUCUUCUUAGGAAUUUCCUGAUUGAACACUUGUAGUGUUCAAUCCUUUCAACUGUUAAGUUUAAAUUCCCGUUUAUUUUAUUUCUGGAUGACUGUAAUUUCACAAUUAAUUACACGUCAUACUCCGACUGUUCUCUAUAUUGGUACGUUGACG
This 295-nucleotide small RNA is filed under the name Vigna angularis var. angularis. RNAcentral's name for it is "Non-protein coding transcript". The record is from RNAcentral. Lineage: Eukaryota; Viridiplantae; Streptophyta; Magnoliopsida; Fabales; Fabaceae.